Molecule: ribosomal RNA, 574 nt
Filed under: Nostoc sp. 'Peltigera praetextata cyanobiont'
Lineage: Bacteria; Bacillati; Cyanobacteriota; Cyanophyceae; Nostocales; Nostocaceae
Description: bacterial SSU rRNA
Rfam family: Bacterial small subunit ribosomal RNA
Source: RNAcentral
UUCAGGUCUGGGACAACCACUGGAAACGGUGGCUAAUACCGGAUGUGCCGAGAGGUGAAAGGUUAACUGCCUGAAGAUGAGCUCGCGUCUGAUUAGCUAGUAGGUAGUGUAAAGGACUACCUAGGCGACGAUCAGUAGCUGGUCUGAGAGGACGAUCAGCCACACUGGGACUGAGACACGGCCCAGACUCCUACGGGAGGCAGCAGUGGGGAAUUUUCCGCAAUGGGCGAAAGCCUGACGGAGCAAUACCGCGUGAGGGAGGAAGGCUCUUGGGUCGUAAACCUCUUUUCUCAGGGAAGAACACAAUGACGGUACCUGAGGAAUAAGCAUCGGCUAACUCCGUGCCAGCAGCCGCGGUAAUACGGAGGAUGCAAGCGUUAUCCGGAAUGAUUGGGCGUAAAGCGUCCGCAGGUGGCUAUGUAAGUCUGCUGUUAAAGAGUCUAGCUCAACUAGAUAAGAGCAGUGGAAACUACAUGGCUAGAGUGCGUUCGGGGCAGAGGGAAUUCCUGGUGUAGCGGUGAAAUGCGUAGAGAUCAGGAAGAACACCGGUGGCGAAGGCGCUCUGCUAGGCCGC